This 459-nucleotide ribosomal RNA is filed under the name uncultured bacterium. Its description in RNAcentral is "partial 16S ribosomal RNA". It matches the Rfam family "Bacterial small subunit ribosomal RNA", at positions 338 to 795 of the family's 1533-position model. The record is from RNAcentral.
CCUACGGGUGGCAGCAGUGAGGAAUAUUGGUCAAUGGGCGAGAGCCUGAACCAGCCAAGUCGCGUGAAGGAUGAAGGAUCUAUGGUUUGUAAACUUCUUUUAUAUGGGAAUAAAGUGAGGAACGUGUUCCUUUUUGUAUGUACCAUAUGAAUAAGCAUCGGCUAACUCCGUGCCAGCAGCCGCGGUAAUACGGAGGAUGCGAGCGUUAUCCGGAUUUAUUGGGUUUAAAGGGUGCGCAGGCGGGAGAUCAAGUCAGCGGUAAAAUGUCGGGGCUCAACCCCGGCCGGCCGUUGAAACUGGUUUUCUAGAGUUGGAGAGAAGUAUGCGGAAUUCGUGGUGUAGCGGUGAAAUGCUUAGAUAUCACGAAGAACUCCGAUUGCGAAGGCAGCUUACUAAACUGCCACUGACAUUGAUGCUCGAAAGUGUGGGUAUCAAACAGGAUUAGAUACCCGAGUAGUC